GAUUGAAGUUGUUCUCGAGGUAGAGAGACACGAACAUUCCUGCUCAAACCGUGCUGCCUUUGCCGAUACCUGCUAGAAUAAUUGAUUCUCCUUCGUCAACCGAGACCAUUCGUGACAGUCAAACUGUUGGCGGUGAGACUCAGUCAAAGACGCGUGAUAUUCCAG
This is a long non-coding RNA of Bolinopsis microptera, 165 nucleotides long. RefSeq lists it as uncharacterized. The transcript is spliced from 3 exons. Lineage: Eukaryota; Metazoa; Ctenophora; Tentaculata; Lobata; Bolinopsidae. The record is from RefSeq and is a predicted model, not a curated record.